This 1528-nucleotide long non-coding RNA is filed under the name Piliocolobus tephrosceles (Ugandan red Colobus). Its description in RNAcentral is "lncRNA (ENSPTEG00000014127.1)". Lineage: Eukaryota; Metazoa; Chordata; Mammalia; Primates; Cercopithecidae. The record is from RNAcentral.
AUGUUAAGAAUAAGUUCGUACACCCCGUACAUAUACAAAUGCACAACAAUAAAAAGUUUGAACAAAUUUUAUGUUUAUAUAAAACCCAAAACAUAUUUUGAUUUAAUAAAUUUUACAAAGGGUUUGUAUUCUUACUUAUGUAACAAUCCGUAUAAAAAUGAUUAUUUAAUUUUAAAAUUUGCAAAAAGAUUAUUCAGUGACAUUCCUAAGAUAUCUCUUAACAAGUUUGUUGCAACUGAUAAAAAAGAUAUAUGUCUUAUAAUUUUAUUAUAUUUAAAAUGUAAAACAUUAAAUAAAAAUUUUUCGAUUGAUAAAAAUAUAAUUAAAUACUUAAGUGUGGCCAUCGAUAGAAACAUAAACAAUUUGGAUGAAGAUGAUUUUUCAACAGUACUUAGAUUUUUAAGUUAUAUUAAUAAUAAUAAAUUAUAUUCAGGAAAGAAUAAUUAUAACAGUAAUAAUAAUGGUAACAUUAAUAAAAGUAACGAGAAGAUUAGUAAAAAAAAAAAUUACGAAAACUAUGAAAACAAUUAUGAUAUAACUUCGAAAAUUACUAAAAAAAUAAUAAAUCGAAGUAGUAAUUAUUUACAUAAUUUUAAACAAACAAAAAAUUUAUGUAUAUUAUAUAGUUAUUUAUGUAGAGAAAAUAUAUCGAUUGAAUUGCAUAAUAAUAUACUGAAAGAAAUAUUUAAACAUAUAAAUAAAUGUAAAGACACUGAUUUAACAAAUUUAUUUUUUAAUUUAUAUCAUAUUAAUAUUUAUUUUUUUAAUCAGUUUUUAAAUAAAAUAGCACAGCAUGUUGUAAAAAAGAAUGUUGAAAAAGAGAAUGUUGUAAAAGAGGAUGUUGUAAAAGAGGAUGUUGUAAAAGAGGAUGUUGUAAAAGAGAAUGUUGUAAAAGAGGAUGUUGUAAAAGAGAAUGUUGUAAAAGAGAAUGUUGUAAAAGAGAAUGUUGUAAAAGAGAAUGUUGUAAAAGAGGAUGUUGUAAAAGAGAAUGUUGUAAAAGAGGAUGUUGUAAAAGAGGAUGUUGUAAAAGAGGAUGUUGUAAAACAUAAUGUUGUAAAACAGAAUGUUGAAAAACAGAAUGUUGAAAAACAGAAUGUUGAAAAACAGAAUGUUGAAAAAGAAAAAAAAAUAUUUACAGAUUUGACCGUAUGUAAAAUGCAGAAUAAGAAAAAAAAAAUAAAUGCCGAUAUUGGAACUGUGAUAAAUGGGGAAAAAAUUCCUAAUUGUUACGAUAUAUCUUGUAAAUUUUUAAAUACAAAAUGGCAGUCUAAACAAUGUGUUGAUAGUACAUAUACCAAUAUAAAAGUAUCAACUUAUUAUAGGGAAAAAAAAAAUGAAAAUAUACCUUUAGUUUCUGUAUAUUCAUCAUACUAUAAAAAAAAAUACCAUUUAUGAUUAUAACAAAAAUGUUAAUAAUGUAAUGAAAAAUUGUAACAAUUUGUUUAAUAUAUAUAGUUGUAAUAUUUAUGUAUAUAAUUUUAUAAAUCAAUAUAAUAAAAUUUUUUUGAAUAGAAAAAUAAAAAAAUUA